AAGCUUGCUUAGAUGAGUCGAGUGGCAAACGGGUGAGUAACGCGUAGACAACCUGCCGCAAAGAUGGGGACAACAGUCCGAAAGGACUGCUAAUACCGAAUGUUGUCAAGUUUCCGCAUGGGAACUUGAUUAAAGAUGGCCUCUACUUGUAAGCUAUCGCUUUGCGAUGGGUCUGCGUCUGAUUAGCUAGUUGGUGGGGUAACGGCCUACCAAGGCGACGAUCAGUAGCCGGUCUGAGAGGAUGAACGGCCACAUUGGAACUGAGACACGGUCCAGACUCCUACGGGAGGCAGCAGUGGGGAAUCUUCCGCAAUGGGCGAAAGCCUGACGGAGCAACGCCGCGUGAGUGAAGAAGGGUUUCGGCUCGCAAAGCUCUGUUGACGGGGACGAAUGUGCGAAAUGCGAAUAGUUUUUCGCAAUGACGGUACCCGUCGAGGAAGCCACGGCUAACUACGUGCCAGCAGCCGCGGUAAUACGUAGGUGGCGAGCGUUGUCCGGAAUUAUUGGGCGUAAAGGGAGCGCAGGCGGGAAGGCAAGUCAGUCUUAAAAGUGCGGGGCUCAACCCCGUGAUGGGAUUGAAACUGUCUUUCUUGAGUGCAGGAGAGGAAAGCGGAAUUCCUAGUGUAGCGGUGAAAUGCGUAGAUAUUAGGAGGAACACCAGUGGCGAA
RNAcentral lists this ribosomal RNA (668 nucleotides) under uncultured rumen bacterium. RNAcentral's name for it is "bacterial SSU rRNA". It matches the Rfam family "Bacterial small subunit ribosomal RNA", at positions 76 to 719 of the family's 1533-position model. The record is from RNAcentral.